This 64-nucleotide transfer RNA is filed under the name Dipodomys ordii (Ord's kangaroo rat). It matches the Rfam family "tRNA", at positions 1 to 63 of the family's 71-position model. From Rfam's summary of the family: Transfer RNA (tRNA) molecules are approximately 80 nucleotides in length. Their secondary structure includes four short double-helical elements and three loops (D, anti-codon, and T loops). Lineage: Eukaryota; Metazoa; Chordata; Mammalia; Rodentia; Heteromyidae. The record is from Rfam by way of RNAcentral.
GGGAAGUUGGCUCAGUGGUAGAGUGCUUGCCUCGCAAGCAUGAGGCCCUGGGUUUGAUUCCUCA